Molecule: transfer RNA, 90 nt
Filed under: Desulfobulbaceae bacterium
Lineage: Bacteria; Pseudomonadati; Thermodesulfobacteriota; Desulfobulbia; Desulfobulbales; Desulfobulbaceae
Also listed under: 1 other name
Description: tRNA-Ser
Rfam family: tRNA
About the family: Transfer RNA (tRNA) molecules are approximately 80 nucleotides in length.
Source: RNAcentral
GGAGGGGUGCCGGAGUGGUCGAACGGGACGGAUUCGAAAUCCGUUGUGCCUGCGAGGGCACCGUGGGUUCGAAUCCCACCCUCUCUUCCA